GUAGGUGGCAAGCGUUGUCCGGAAUUAUUGGGCGUAAAGCGCGCGCAGGCGGUUCUUUAAGUCUGAUGUGAAAGCCCACGGCUCAACCGUGGAGGGUCAUUGGAAACUGGAGAACUUGAGUACAGAAGAGGAAAGCGGAAUUCCACGUGUAGCGGUGAAAUGCGUAGAGAUGUGGAGGAACACCAGUGGCGAAGGCGGCUUUCUGGUCUGUAACUGACGCUGAGGCGCGAAAGCGUGGGGAGCAAACAGGAUUAGAUACCCUGGUAGUCCACGCCGUAAACGAUGAGUGCUAAGUGUUAGGGGGGCUUCCGCCCCUUAGUGCUGCAGCUAACGCAUUAAGCACUCCGCCUGGGAGUACGGCCGCAAGGCUG
This 371-nucleotide ribosomal RNA is filed under the name uncultured organism. RNAcentral describes it as "partial 16S ribosomal RNA". It matches the Rfam family "Bacterial small subunit ribosomal RNA", at positions 527 to 896 of the family's 1533-position model. The record is from RNAcentral.